This 74-nucleotide transfer RNA is filed under the name Streptomyces phage Wofford. RNAcentral describes it as "tRNA-Leu". It matches the Rfam family "tRNA". From Rfam's summary of the family: Transfer RNA (tRNA) molecules are approximately 80 nucleotides in length. Their secondary structure includes four short double-helical elements and three loops (D, anti-codon, and T loops). Lineage: Duplodnaviria; Heunggongvirae; Uroviricota; Caudoviricetes; Stanwilliamsviridae. The record is from RNAcentral.
GCGCUUGUAGGCAAAUGGCAAAGCCACUGGACUUAAAAUCCGGAGUAUGAGAGUUCGAAUCUCUCCAGGCGCAC